RNAcentral lists this ribosomal RNA (483 nucleotides) under uncultured bacterium. RNAcentral's name for it is "bacterial SSU rRNA". It matches the Rfam family "Bacterial small subunit ribosomal RNA", at positions 30 to 507 of the family's 1533-position model. The record is from RNAcentral.
AUUGAACGCUGGCGGCAUGCCUUACACAUGCAAGUCGAACGGCAGCACGGGGCAACCUGGUGGCGAGUGGCGAACGGGUGAGUAAUGCAUCGGAACGUGCCAUUGAGUGGGGGAUAACGUAGCGAAAGUUGCGCUAAUACCGCAUAUUCUGUGAGCAGGAAAGCAGGGGACCGCAAGGCCUUGCGCUCUUUGAGCGGCCGAUGUCAGAUUAGCUAGUUGGUGAGGUAACGGCUUACCAAGGCGACGAUCUGUAGCGGGUCUGAGAGGAUGAUCCGCCACACUGGAACUGAGACACGGUCCAGACUCCUACGGGAGGCAGCAGUGGGGAAUUUUGGACAAUGGGCGCAAGCCUGAUCCAGCCAUGCCGCGUGAGUGACGAAGGCCUUCGGGUUGUAAAACUCUGUCUUUUAAGACGAAUGGAUAGCUUGUAAAUAAUAAGCUAUACUGACGGUACUAAAGGAGGAAGCCACGGCUAACUACGUG